GAUGCUGUGAUGAGCUGUUAACAUAUAAGAAGAGCUCCUAGGAAAGGCUUUUCAAUGAGAUGUAUUUGUUACGCUUGGCUUCUGAGCUCU
RNAcentral lists this small nucleolar RNA (90 nucleotides) under Thalictrum thalictroides. RNAcentral's name for it is "Small nucleolar RNA R24". It matches the Rfam family "Small nucleolar RNA R24". From Rfam's summary of the family: snoR24 is a C/D box small nucleolar RNA which acts as a methylation guide for 18S ribosomal RNA in plants. The record is from Rfam by way of RNAcentral. Lineage: Eukaryota; Viridiplantae; Streptophyta; Magnoliopsida; Ranunculales; Ranunculaceae.